AUGCUGCGAAAAGUUAUCACUGAAAAGUUCAAGUGAAUUGGAUGAAUUGAAUUGAAUUACGGUAAUGUAACCACAGCGCCGAGCUGCCAUGCAUGUGUGCCACUUAGUGGCUCUAAGAAGGAACAACAUCAAAGUGCUAACUGACCACAUGCUUCCUUUUUUCCCCCAUUCCCACAAUAAAUAGCAGAAAAUAAUGUCAAAAAACAUUUCAUAUCCUAUAGGGGUAAAUGUAAGUGUGUGAUUGUUUGGAUAUGUGUGCCUUGUGAUUGGCUGGCGAACAGACUUCCUUUUGCAGACUUUCUGUAUGAACAGCAGCAAAUUCUCUCCACUCCAGGCGAGACUCAUUCCCAAAUAAUUCUGCUUGUCAGUUUGAAAUUAGCACCACCAAGUGGGAAAACAAUGACACUGUAGAGGGAAAAGUCCAGUUGGAGAGGGAGCCUGUUUCCUUACGAUCCCUCUGCUGGAAGAAUGCUCUCCCUGCAUCACAGUCGUCUCGUUUUUUGUUUUUUUUUUUUCUCUCGACAUCAGACGUAAUGGAAUAGCUAAGAGAAACUGGCUGUUAUUCACAGACAACUCCUGGCACAAGACAAAAGAUGACUAUUAUAAAAUGUGUCUGGAGCGGACCCGCAUUUCGAGGCGCUCACCGAAAAACAAAAGUGGAGACGAACAGCUGCAGGUUGGAGGUAGUUGACACGCGUCCGUACGCGGAGCCCGAUAAAUGUCUCCACUCCGGACAGGGAAUACUGAGCGAGAGCGAGUGUCCUUGACAAUGGCAGGAAGCUCGUUCCGAGGGGAAGAGAUGGCCGGCAACGCUCAAUGCCUCAGCUGUUUGUGUUUGCAUGCGGGUCGUGACAACCAUUGCUGUUUGCCCGCGGCAGGAAGUGUGACCUAUCACGUGAGCCGCGAGUGUCAAAAGAUGCUUGGGACAAAGGAAGAGCACUUGUACGCACCGUCCGCAGGGACGGAAUAAACUCUAUGACACAAGGUGAUUGGAAACACCCAAGUAAAUAACGGCUAAGUCAUCCUCUUGGCUUGCCUCCUAAAAAGUGUAACUUCUCUUUGUUUGAUGUUUAGUUUGACAUCUUGAAAUUGACGUAUAUCGAGGCGACACGAUGCGCCUUUGGAAAGUACACUAGCUGCUAUCCGUCUUCUUUUUACACUUGUAUAACCAUUUCCCAGAGCGGGCUUACGAUUAGCGGCGCCGCCAUGUUAACGUUCGUCAAUCUGCCGCAUGUUAGCGUUUGCUUGAAAUAAUCCGUUUUGCAAGAUGCGGAGCAUCUGUAGCGGCUACUGUUUGUGUACCGUUGGCGUAUGUGCGUGCGUUUGAGCGCAUGUGUGCGGCGCGUGGUGUUUAGAACCCCCUCCUUUCUCUGUCAGCCGGGUCGGCUUUCCUCUCUUCUCUCCUCACCUUCAGAGGGAAGGACGCACAUUCCUGCGCCGCUUCCCGACUCGAGCCCCAGGCGACGCUCAGCCCCGUGCUGAUAAGUGACAGGGGCCCCAGUGGCGUGCACGCACACACACACACACACACACACACACGCCCUGCCCUUCUGUCCACAGACGUGCUGCUCGGGAAUUCUGCCCUCUGCCCCACUUCUGCCUCCCCCCACCUCCCACCUCCUUCCUCUCUUCCUCGCUCCCGCUCGCUCUCUUGACGACGGGUCUUUAAAGAGAUAGAUUGAUCUUUAAUUUCAGCGCCAGUCUGGUCAAUGGCGCUAUAGCCCGACGCCUCCAGCAUGCCCACCACCCUCACCCACUCGCUACCAUCCCCUCGUCCCCCGACGCACAAAGGAGGGAGAGAUCUAAAUUGGGCGAUUUGUCAAUCAAAGCAUUUGACGGUUGGUAGGCCUGUUUUUGGUUUUUGUUUUCAUUAUUUGUUCGUCAGAUGACUCCAGUCAAGAAUACUGCAUACUGAGUGUGUGAAUUAUUUUGUCACCUUACUUGACGCAAAAAAAAAUACCCCACAAACUCCUUCUUGCUGUCUGCCUCGGCGUUUAUUAAGUAUUCCGCUCAGACCUGCACCAAGGCUCCGAGCACAGAAAACACACUCUGACCGCCACUCAGUGUGUGUGUGUGUGUGUGUGUGUGCAUAUCCGCGUGUGCGUCCGCCUUGUGCGCUCGGUGCGUGCCUGAAUGUGUGUCAGCCUCAAUUGCUGGAGCCUGCCCAAGGUUUCCGUGGUGACUGCACAACACAACGAGACAAUCAGGGCAGGCCCAUGCGGCGCGGGCGAGAGGACAUUAACACAGGAACUGGGGGGGAGUGAGGUCAGAGGUCAGACUAAGGCGGGGAGGCGCGCAAAGCAACGAAGGUAAAGCGUAAACAACAAUAAAGAAUCACGCAACCUUUUGUGUCUUCAAUUUUCAAAGAAAAAGCCAGAAAGAGCGCCUGUGUGGUUUUGGCGUGCCUACGCGUGGAGAUUGGUGGCACGCCUGAGCGAAUUGGCGGUGAGGGGGCGGCGGGGGGUGGGAGGGCUCGGCUGAGCCCGGGCUUGGCGGCGUCGUCGUUGUGUGGCGUGAGAAUGUGUCUCCUCAAAUCCCCUACCGACGGGAGACGCAUGCUUGUCGCUCCAUUUUGUGUGCGUGGAGGCUGCUCGUGCACCCGGAACAGGCGCGCACGCGCCGGCGCGCUCUCACAUAUCUGCGUCCCCCGGGGAUGACGCUAAAAAUAUGUGGCUCCUCAAGCCUUCUGGUGUCUGAGCAGCGUCUGUCUGCUCUCCAUUGCCUCCCUGCUCUCCCCUCUCUUGAGCCCGUUCCCUCCAUUCCUCCCUCAAUUACAUCCUCUCUCAAACACGCUACCUCAACGAGCGCACGUCGACAAACUACGGCCAGCUGCGUCCCCCGCUGCACUUUCGCGGAGGAUGACCUCUGCUUGGGCCGGAGUGGGAUAAAGGCAAGCGGAAAGGAAAAAAAGAAAAAAGAAAAAAUACAAGGGACUGAAGAAAGAUCCAUGCGGGUAGUAUUUGGAAAG
Hippocampus zosterae (dwarf seahorse) is the source of this 2968-nucleotide long non-coding RNA. RefSeq lists it as uncharacterized. NCBI's taxonomy places the organism in Eukaryota, Metazoa, Chordata, Actinopteri, Syngnathiformes, Syngnathidae. The transcript is spliced from 2 exons. The record is from RefSeq and is a predicted model, not a curated record.